Molecule: transfer RNA, 71 nt
Filed under: Angiostrongylus costaricensis
Lineage: Eukaryota; Metazoa; Nematoda; Chromadorea; Rhabditida; Metastrongylidae
Rfam family: tRNA
About the family: Transfer RNA (tRNA) molecules are approximately 80 nucleotides in length.
Source: Rfam by way of RNAcentral
GCAUUGGUGAUUCAGUGGAAAGAUGCUCGCUUGCCACGCGAUCGACCCUGGUUCGAAUUCCGGGCGAUGCA